CAGUGACAGGAGCAACCACAGCUAACAUUACCACAAUGCAUUCAUCUACAACCGAAGGUCACAGUAGCUCAUCAACUGUGCCAUUAACAACGAGCCAUGUUACUGUGCAAAAUACAGCAGCAAUGGUGGAAACCACAGCUACAUCUUUUAACACAAGCACAACGAUCGCAACAACAACAUUUAUGACGGAAUUCCAUAGCACUAAUAAUCGAACUCUGGAAACCACACCAUACACAUCCACUGAAAACAAGACUUCGUUUGAAACAACCACAAGCUUCACAUCCACUCAAAACACAAAUUCUUUUGAAACAACCACAAGCUUAACAUCAACCGAAAACAUGACUUCUUUUGAAGCAAAUGCAAACUUCACAUCCACUGGAAAGACAACAUCUUUUGAAACAAAUGUAAACUUCACAUCCACUGAAAACACAACAUCUUUUGAAACAAAUGUAAACUUCACAACAUUUACAGCAGCGACCGAACCAUCAUCCUCCGACAAUAUAACUGAUUCAACACCACUGCUGACAACCGUUAGCCAAACAUUAACACCAUCUGUUUUUUACUGGAUGACUAUAUCAUAUGAGGUAACAGUAGGACAGCAAAGUGAAGAAAAUCUCAAAACAAUGUUUGAGUGGUUGUUCAUGGGCAACUUAGACGCAUGUGCAGUUUCCAGUGAUAGCUCCCUAUCGGUGAUGUCACAGUCAAGAGACAGCAUAUUUCUCAACAGGUUUUAUGAUGUGCUCACCAGGUGAUGUAAACUGUGGUGACCGUAGUGAUAAUUGCAUUUAUGAAUGUUCAUAGUUGAGGCCUUUUGUACAUAUUAGUACUUUAAAACCUAAUAAUAUCUGUGCUUUGGAAAGUUGUGUAGUAAAAUAGGCUUGCCUUUUGUC
Carassius carassius (crucian carp) is the source of this 890-nucleotide long non-coding RNA. RefSeq lists it as uncharacterized. The record is from RefSeq and is a predicted model, not a curated record. Lineage: Eukaryota; Metazoa; Chordata; Actinopteri; Cypriniformes; Cyprinidae. The transcript has 4 exons.